UUUAUUAAAUUUAUUAUAUUGUUUUUAUGUUUUAAUUUUAUAAUUUAAUAAAAAUAAUUUUAUUUCUUUUGGUCUUAGUAUAUUUUAUUGAAAUGAUUAUAUUAAUUAUAGUUUAUUAGUAAUGUAAUUGGAUUAUUUUUUUUAUUAAGUUAUAAAAAGUAGAUUUUAUUUUUCGUACCUUUUGUAUCAGGGUUUAUUAAAAUUUAAUUUUUUAUUAAUUAAAUCUCGAUUUGGGUUGAUUUAUAAAUUAAUAAUAGUUGUUGUUUCAAAAACAUUAUUAAUUAAUUUAUAGAAGUGAAAUGUUAAUCGUUUCCCAAUAUAUCUAGUUUCUUAAGAAAAAAUUUAAUUUUUUAAUAUUGGUGUUUUUAUUUAAUUUUAUAAUUUUAAAAUAUUAAUAUAUUUCUUUUUUAGGGGAUAAGCUCUAAAAUUAGUUUCCUAUAAUUUGUUAAUUUGAAAAUAUAAGAAUAGGCUUUAAACCAGUUAUUUUUUAGAUUACGUUUUAGUUCAUUUUCUUUAAUUUUGAUUUUUUAAUUUAUUUAGGUUUUUUAUUAAGAUUAUUAAUUUAAUUUUUAAAUUUUUGUAAUAAUGAUUUAAUUAGUAUAUUUAUUUUGUUUAAAUUUUUAUUUUUGAUAAUUUAUUAUAAGGAACUAGGCAAAAAUAAUUUCCGCCUGUUUAUCAAAAACAUGUCUUCUCGAUAAUAUUUUGAAGUCUGGCCUGCUCACUGAUUUUAUAUUAAAUAGCCGCGGUAUUUUGACCGUGCAAAGGUAGCAUAAUCAUUAGUCUUUUAAUUGGGGGCUGGAAUGAAUGGUUUAACGAGAAAUUGGCUGUCUCUUAAUAAAUUUUAGAAUUUAACUUUUGAGUUAAAAGGCUUAAAUUUUUUUUUAGGACGAGAAGACCCUAUAGAUCUUGACAUUUAUAUUUUUAUAUUUUUUAUAGAUAAUCUUUUUAUAUUAAAUUUUAAUGUUAUGUUGGGGUGACAUGAAGAAUAAAUAAACUCUUCAUUAUUAAAUCAUUUAUUUAUGACUAUUUGAUCCAUAAUUUAUGAUCAUAAGAUUAAGUUACCUUAGGGAUAACAGCGUAAUUAUUUUUGAGAGUUCAUAUCGACAAAAUAGAUUGCGACCUCGAUGUUGGAUUAAGAUUAAUUUUAGGUGUAGUAGCUUAAAAAUUAGGUCUGUUCGACCUUUAAAUUCUUACAUGAUCUGAGUUCAGACCGGCGUGAGCCAGGUCGGUUUCUAUCCUAAAAUAUUUAAAUUCAUAUUAGUACGAAAGGACCAUAUGAUUAAAAUAUCUUUUUUUAUAUUGAUUAAAUAUAAUUUUU
This 1318-nucleotide ribosomal RNA is filed under the name Aiolopus thalassinus tamulus. RNAcentral's name for it is "16S ribosomal RNA". The stretch from base 885 to 1238 matches the Rfam family "Archaeal large subunit ribosomal RNA", at positions 2155 to 2712 of the family's 2987-position model. Lineage: Eukaryota; Metazoa; Arthropoda; Insecta; Orthoptera; Acrididae. The record is from RNAcentral.